RNAcentral lists this ribosomal RNA (266 nucleotides) under uncultured prokaryote. RNAcentral's name for it is "partial 16S ribosomal RNA". It matches the Rfam family "Bacterial small subunit ribosomal RNA", at positions 524 to 785 of the family's 1533-position model. The record is from RNAcentral.
UACGUAGGGUGCAAGCGUUGUCCGGAAUUUAUUGGGCGUAAAGAGCUCGUAGGCGGUUUUGUCGCGUCUGCUGUGAAAGCCCGGGGCUCAACCCCGGGUCUGCAGUGGGUACGGGCAGACUUGAGUGCGGUAGGGGAGAUUGGAAUUCCUGGUGUAGCGGUGGAAUGACGCAGAUAUCAGGAGGAACACCGAUGGCGAAGGCAGAUCUCUGGGCCGUUACUGACGCUGAGGAGCGAAAAGCAUGGGGAGCGAACAGGAUUAGACUA